RNAcentral lists this ribosomal RNA (314 nucleotides) under uncultured eukaryote. RNAcentral describes it as "partial 18S ribosomal RNA". It matches the Rfam family "Eukaryotic small subunit ribosomal RNA", at positions 1470 to 1796 of the family's 1831-position model. The record is from RNAcentral.
CCCUUAGAUGUUCUGGGCCGCACGCGCGCUACAAUGGCAGACUCAGCGAGUUACCUCUGUCGAAAGGCACAGGGAAUCUUUACAGUAUCUGCCGUGAUGGGGAUAGACCCUCGUAAUUUUUGGUCUUCAACGAGGAAUUCCUAGUAAACGCAAGUCAUUAACUUGCAUUGAUUACGUCCCUGCCCUUUGUACACACCGCCCGUCGCACCUACCGAUUGAAUGGUCCGGUGAAGUCCUCGGACCCAGUUGAACCUCGAGUUGAACAGGGAAAGUUGACUAAAUCUUACCAUUUAGAGGAAGGUGAAGUCGUAACA